UACGUAGGGUCCGAGCGUUGUCCGGAGUUACUGGGCGUAAAAGCGCGCGCAGGCGGCUGGCUUUGCCCGGCGUGAAAGCCCCCGGCUCAACCGGGGGAGGGUCGUCGGGGACGGGUCAGCUUGAGGCCGGCAGGGGCAGGUGGGAAUUCCCGGUGUAGGUGGUGAAAUGCGUAGGAGGAAUCGGGGAAGGAACACCCCGUG
RNAcentral lists this ribosomal RNA (201 nucleotides) under uncultured bacterium. Its description in RNAcentral is "partial 16S ribosomal RNA". It matches the Rfam family "Bacterial small subunit ribosomal RNA", at positions 524 to 715 of the family's 1533-position model. The record is from RNAcentral.